This 254-nucleotide ribosomal RNA is filed under the name uncultured bacterium. Its description in RNAcentral is "partial 16S ribosomal RNA". It matches the Rfam family "Bacterial small subunit ribosomal RNA", at positions 524 to 776 of the family's 1533-position model. The record is from RNAcentral.
UACGUAGGGGGCGAGCGUUGUCCGGAUUCAUUGGGCGUAAAGAGCUCGUAGGCGGUUUGGCAAGUCGGGUGUGAAAUCUCCGGGCUCAACUCGGAGAGGCCACUCGAUACUGCUAUGACUAGAGUCCGGUAGGGGACUAUGGAAUUCCAGGUGUAGCGGUGAAAUGCGUAGAUAUCUGGAGGAACACCGGUGGCGAAGGCGGCAUCCUGGACCAAUUCUGACGCUGAGGAGCGAAAGCCAGGGGAGCAAACGGG